Molecule: long non-coding RNA, 1060 nt
Filed under: Sinocyclocheilus anshuiensis
Lineage: Eukaryota; Metazoa; Chordata; Actinopteri; Cypriniformes; Cyprinidae
Description: lncRNA (ENSSANG00000005512.1)
Source: RNAcentral
CCAAUGAAUCUUAAAUUCCUAUGUCCAUUCCAAUUUAAAUUAAAUUAAAGUCUGAACAAGUUAUUCCAGCUGCAACUGCUUACCCUUAGUGAAAAAAACAAUCUAUAAGAAAAAACCUCAUUUAUAAAACACAUACAAUUGGACUUGAUCCAAAUUUUCAUGAAUUUUAUCACAUUUAUUUGACAAAACUGAUCUUCUGAAAAUAAUAAUAACGCUAAUAGUAUAUGCCUGCACAUGUUGUACAGAAACCAGACCAUGUCUUUUUUUUUUUUUUUCCAUUUUACUUCUUUAUUUGAGCAUCUCAUCAUUCAGUCACACUUUGUCCAUACUGAAGUUAUGCUUAUUUGGACCUUCAUAGUAAUCUAAUCUAAAUGUAGCUGUUAACCCUUACCGUUUGACUUUAAAGAGGGUUAAAGCAGGAGGUUCUGACAGCAGCAUACAGUACUAUCCACGGCCUAAGUACACUUGCAACACAGACAGGCCGAGCUUCUUAUGUGUGCCGUUUCUUUAAGAGCAGCUGAGAUGGCGACCCUCAACAAUCUUUUAAUGCACUUGUGGACAGAUUGACAUUAGACUAGAGCGGAUCACGUAGGCGAUCGUCGCCCAUGACCUGAAGAAGCCCUUGAGAGAAGGUACGAUUACAUGUGCAAAACUGUGUGACGUAUGAGAACUUGGUGAGAGAGUGGUAUGAUCUUGUAGACGUUUGGAGGGAGAGGAACAGAGAGCACAUUUCCGGCAUGCGGCAUCUGGGUCUACUAAAUACCUAGAAUAUUCUCAGUUUUCAUCUGGCUGGGAGGAUUUAGAGGGAUGCAUUUUCAUAUCCUGUUUUCUGUGCUGAAGAAGUUGGCCUUGAGGAAUUUACGGCUUGCCUAAGGUCAGUUGACGUGAUGAGGAUGCGUAUAUAGGCAGAUCUGUGUGUGUGACAAAGGUUAGAUGCGUACAUACACAAGCACAUAAACACACACACACACACACACACACACAAAAAAAAAAAUAUUUACAUGAACUGGACUGCUCUAGUUAUCAAGUUAAAUUCACUGGAGUGAAAGAUUAUCAGGGA